UACGAAGGGGGCUAGCGUUGCUCGGAAUUACUGGGCGUAAAGCGCACGUAGGCGGCUUUCUAAGUCGGGGGUGAAAUCCUGGAGCUCAACUCCAGAACUGCCUUCGAUACUGGAGAGCUCGAGUCCGGGAGAGGUGAGUGGAACUGCGAGUGUAGAGGUGAAAUACUUAGAUAUGUCAUAGAACACCGAUGGCGAAGGCAGCUAACGAAGCUGUAACUGACACUGAGGCUCGAAAGUGCGGGGAGCAAACAGG
This 253-nucleotide ribosomal RNA is filed under the name uncultured bacterium. Its description in RNAcentral is "partial 16S ribosomal RNA". It matches the Rfam family "Bacterial small subunit ribosomal RNA", at positions 524 to 776 of the family's 1533-position model. The record is from RNAcentral.